AGAGUUUGAUCCUGGCUCAGGACGAACGCUGGCGGCGUGCCUAAUACAUGCAAGUCGAGCUAACUUUUGGGAGCUUGCUCCCAAAAGUUAGCGGCGGACGGGUGAGUAACACGUGGGCAACCUGCCUAUAAGACUGGGAUAACUUCGGGAAACCGGAGCUAAUACCGGAUCAUUCUUUCCUACACAUGUAGGAAAGCUAAAAGACGGUUUACGCUGUCACUUAUAGAUGGGCCCGCGGCGCAUUAGCUAGUUGGUGAGGUAACGGCCCACCAAGGCCACGAUGCGUAGCCGACCUGAGAGGGUGAUCGGCCACACUGGGACUGAGACACGGCCCAGACUCCUACGGGAGGCAGCAGUAGGGAAUCUUCCGCAAUGGACGAAAGUCUGACGGAGCAACGCCGCGUGAGUGAUGAAGGUUUUCGGAUCGUAAAACUCUGUUGUUAGGGAAGAACAAGUAUGAGAGUAACUGCUCGUACCUUGACGGUACCUAACCAGAAAGCCACGGCUAACUACGUGCCAGCAGCCGCGGUAAUACGUAGGUGGCAAGCGUUGUCCGGAAUUAUUGGGCGUAAAGCGCGCGCAGGCGGUCCUUUAAGUCUGAUGUGAAAGCCCACGGCUCAACCGUGGAGGGUCAUUGGAAACUGG
Molecule: ribosomal RNA, 645 nt
Filed under: uncultured Bacillus sp.
Lineage: Bacteria; Bacillati; Bacillota; Bacilli; Caryophanales; Bacillaceae
Description: bacterial SSU rRNA
Rfam family: Bacterial small subunit ribosomal RNA
Source: RNAcentral